Long non-coding RNA from Physeter macrocephalus (sperm whale), 666 nucleotides. RefSeq lists it as uncharacterized. The transcript has 3 exons. Lineage: Eukaryota; Metazoa; Chordata; Mammalia; Artiodactyla; Physeteridae. The record is from RefSeq and is a predicted model, not a curated record.
GUGCCUCCUACACUUUACGACCCAUUUCCCUAUACAUUAUAUGCUCCUUCACAAGUCUGUGAAGUAGGCGUCUCCAUUUAAAACACUAAGAAUCGAGGCUCCGAAAGCUCAAACGGUUUACCUGCCACUUUACCGCUGCUUAAUAGGUACUAUGGGUGUAACGCAAGCCCACAGCUUCUGACCACGAAAUGAGAAACAAAACACUUUAGGGCACAGAGGACCCAGAAGUCACAUUAUUCACCCCAGAGAGAGAAUUCAGAGGGUAAACCCCUUGGCCCGGAAUUCAACGCUGGAGCAAUAGUGGAUUGCGGAGAGUCUGGGAGGGACUGAGGCUUGAGGAACUGGCUACCAGAACCAGACCCCACGGUAAGCGCGCGGCCACACGCCAGCCCUUCUGCAGGACGGACCGAGUCUGGUAAUGCCAGAGGCUUUAUGUUGCCGCAAACGACAGAAUUCAAGAUCCAUGAAGGCUGAGAGGGACAGAAUAUCAGGCUGGUUCUGCUGCUUAUCUUUGCUCCUAUGGAAGCUCACAUUGAGGACCCAUCUCUGUCCUUUCAAGUCUUGUCCAUCCUUCAAAGCCACCCCGUGAUGUCUUUCUGGACUAUGCUGUAGGAAGAGACAGAGAGGAGAAACAUAUUUGAAUGAACUAUCAACUGGACUUGUCAA